RNAcentral lists this ribosomal RNA (253 nucleotides) under uncultured bacterium. Its description in RNAcentral is "partial 16S ribosomal RNA". It matches the Rfam family "Bacterial small subunit ribosomal RNA", at positions 524 to 776 of the family's 1533-position model. The record is from RNAcentral.
UACGGAGGGGGCUAGCGUUGUUCGGAAUUACUGGGCGUAAAGCGUACGUAGGCGGCCCUGUAAGUUAGAGGUGAAAGCCCGGAGCUCAACUUCGGAAUUGCCUUUAAGACUGCAGAGCUAGAAUCGUGGAGAGGUUAGUGGAAUUCCGAGUGUAGAGGUGAAAUUCGUAGAUAUUCGGAAGAACACCAGUGGCGAAGGCGACUAACUGGACACGUAUUGACGCUGAGGUACGAAAGCGUGGGGAGCAAACAGG